UUCUGUUUUGAAAUUAAGAGUUAGUAUAUAUUUAACAAAAUGUGUUUUUGAGAAGAAAAUUAUCAAUUUGGCCAAUUGUGUCUUGUAGGUGUGAGUCUGUGUUAAGAGUUUAGAAAAAAAUUCUGAAGUAUGGGUAAGUGCUUGUUUGAAAAAAACUGUAACACACAAAUGCGUCUUUAAAUCACUGCACUUGCACAGACGACCACUUCCUCUUUUUUUAAACCUUCCCACUGAAAAUAGAGAAUGUGUCAAAGAACGAGGAAUCUACAAAAGCAACUUUUCUCAGAAAUUAUCCUGCACAUUACGUAAAUGAUUCUUAUGAGCAGUGUCUAAUGGCAGAAACAUGUUUGAACAUAAAUAAAAUAUUAAUCUACAAUAUAAAGAUACAAAAAAGUGACUGACAUUAAUGAAAGAAGUGUAUAACAUGGAGUAAUGAGUAAAUGCUUACAUGCACAUUUGAAUCAACAACUUAUAAUGCAAAUGAUCCAAAUUUCAUCCUCUUCGUCUAUUUGAAGAUGGUUCACCUGACUCGUGGUCUAAAAAUCCCAGGCUGAUCAGUGGAAACUGUUGGCAGAUCUUUUUGUAAAUGCUUCUCAAGUCUUCCAAUAAGACCAAGACCUAGAGCGGUGAAGUCUGAUGAAAUAAAUGUUGUGCAACAUGAUCUCACUUGGCUGAUCUGAGGCUGCAGCCAAAUCUGCAGCGCUCAGCAGUUGCGUCAAUUUUUCGGCAAAACAACAACUGAUUCUCUAUUUUCAGUGGGAACGUUUUUGAAAAAUAGGAAGUGGAAAAUAAAAAGAAAGUGUUCGUCUUUGCGUCUGUCUAAGUCCAUUGUGUUAAAGAUGCAUUUGGGUGUUAAAGUUAAGGAACCUGUCAACUAAUACUACUAGUACAAUACAACAUAGAGUAUUGACACAAAUUAUUGACAUCCACCUCCUUAGUCAGAGUCCUCUGUCCUGGGUGAGACAUUUAAAGAGACCUCUUGCAACCAUUGAGAGGUCAUGAUGUGGUUCAAUGUGUAAGAAAUAAAGUAUAUGGAUGAAGUAACAUUCAGCAAUGAAUGAUUCAUCAUAUAUUGUGUGUGAUGUUUAUUGUAUCAUGUGUCUACUGUUUUUACAGAGCCCAUUGUGACUCCUGUGUUUGUGCAGAAGGGACAUGAUCUGAGCACAAGCAAGCAGCUGAUGUCUGUCCUACAGCUGCUGACUGACUACAAUUGGGUAUGUGUGUCCUAUACUGAGUCAUGAUAUUCAUGUCAAACUGCCUGAAGACAAAAAGAACUACAAGAUUUAAAGGAUACAAAGAAGAAUCCACACAUCUCAUAAAGUUUGACUUACCGUUGAACAGCAGAGGGCAGUAAAACCCAAGAAUGCUGAUGAAACCCACAGUGCAUCAGAAUGACCAUCCGAAUCAGUGGGCCCCGUAUUACACAACAAAGUUGUGAAUACUGUAGUAUGAGUUUGAAUAAAUACCACACGUCUCUUUCACAGCCGAUACUUUGAUUUGUCCCGACAGAAUACACACAGGUUUAACGAACAGAAUCAGCAGUGGAUCCGCUCUGUCGUCCCAGUAAGCCAUGACAGUGAGACGCUAAGAGAGCAUUUACAGCACCGGGGCCCCUGAAAGGAAGCAGAUCAAUGCAUUUCAGGCAACAUUAAUUCUAUUAUCUACACCUGUGCUUUUCCUAAUGUGACAUGUCAUAAUAUUUGUUACAAUGUAUUGUAAUGUGCUUGACUUAAUUCAACAACAAGUCUUUGUAAUAGGUUAUCGAAGAAUGACACCAUUUAAAUUCAUGUUUAAUUUGAAUUGCUGCGUACAAUAACAUUACUGUGUAAGAACAUGAAUAAAGUGUUCAUAUGCUGUUACAGAGUGGUGGACAGUAUUGCAGUGAGUGUUUAACUACCAUUUACGAGUAACUAUACUGUUUUUAGGGUGUUCUAACUUUUAUCCUCCUCCUGAAAGUUAUAUGUGUUGUUUUUAUUUUGAGUUUCUUUUAAUAUUUGAAUGUUUUGUUGCAUGCGAAAUGCACACAUCAUUGCUUAAAUACAUUCAUGUAUAUUUCUGUGUGGCUUGAAGGACGUUUUAGUUGCACUUUCCUUGCGUGUGUAUGUGUGCGUGUUCUCCAUACAAGGCUGGUCACGAAGGUCAUAAAGAGGAAGUCCCUGCGGUCAGUAAGAAGGAGCGCAUGUUUUGCUUGAUGUCAUAGUCCGCAUCCUUCAAUUUCCUCUCCUUCAUCCAUCUAUACUUGCCUUUGACCGUGGUGGAAAACCCAUGCAGCGUGUUUAGCGGGCCUUAGUUUAUGUGGGUGAGCCUGUCUGCGCGUGCAUAGUGAAGGAGGGUUGGUACAGUAAGAUGUUGUACUAAUCAUCUUUUGCUCAAGCUUGUGGUGGACCUUCUGCACAAAAGGUUACCUUCAAAUUAUUGUGACUUAUUUUAUAAGUGACCUUGAACAAUCUUAAUUUAUCCUCACACUAGCAUGCCUCAUUCCAACAUUAAAUAUAUACAUUUUAAAUUAUUACAACUUGUCUUGUGUCUACUUUUAUAGCAGAAUGGCACAUUUGUGAUAUGUAAAUUGUGAAUAUGCAAAGCCAACAGCUUAUAGCUACCCAUUGAAACUGAGACAUCAGAGGGCAAAUCACCAAGAUUUACCUUUUUUUAUGAAUUAUAAUACUUGCA
Long non-coding RNA from Gasterosteus aculeatus aculeatus (three-spined stickleback), 2670 nucleotides. NCBI's taxonomy places the organism in Eukaryota, Metazoa, Chordata, Actinopteri, Perciformes, Gasterosteidae. The record is from Ensembl.